This 1178-nucleotide unclassified non-coding RNA is filed under the name Hevea brasiliensis (rubber tree). Lineage: Eukaryota; Viridiplantae; Streptophyta; Magnoliopsida; Malpighiales; Euphorbiaceae. The record is from RNAcentral.
UGUUUAUGAAAUUAAUUAAUUUUACUGGAAUCCCUCAGAUCUUGGUCAAUUACGCUGUUCCCAGUCGUCCCUUCUCACGCCUCACUCCUCACCAACCAAGCCUCUUCUCACUAGAGCUUCCUCUCUCAAACUCUCCAAUGGCCGCAUCUUCGCUUCUUCAAUCUCCAUAUCUCGCCUCUAAAACCAGAACCACACCCUCUCGCUAUGUUAAACCCACUCCUCAUUUCCUCCCCAUCAAAGCCUCCGCCUUUGAUAAUCCUUCUAACUCUACAGCUCCAUCUCCAACCACCAGCGCCCCCACUACCUACAAAGGUUGCAACAUCCGCGAAGAGGCCCGCCGCCACAGCCUUACUCACCCACAACCCGACAACAACUUCUCCGCCAAAUACGUCCCCUUCAAUGCCGGACCCACUUGCUCAGAAUCAUACUCCCUUGAUGAGAUCGUUUACCGUUCUCAGUCCGGUGGCCUCCUCGACGUUCAACAUGACAUCUCCGCCCUCAAGGCCUUCCCGGGUUCUUACUGGCGUGCACUCUUCGAUUCCCGGGUUGGGAAGACCACUUGGCCGUACGGAUCCGGAGUUUGGUCUAAGAAGGAGUGGGUUUUGCCUGAGAUAUCUAGCGAUGAUAUUGUUAGCGCCUUUGAAGGGAACUCGAAUCUGUUUUGGGCGGAGAGAUAUGGGAAGCAGUUUUUGAACAUGAACGAUUUGUGGGUCAAGCAUUGUGGGAUCAGCCAUACUGGGAGCUUUAAAGAUUUGGGUAUGACGGUACUGGUCAGCCAAGUGAACAGGUUGCGAAAAAUGAACAAACCAGUGGUUGGAGUUGGCUGCGCUUCCACUGGUGACACCUCCGCCGCACUAUCUGCUUACUGUGCUUCUGCGGGUAUUCCUUCUAUUGUUUUUCUACCAGCAAAUAAGAUUUCCAUGGCCCAACUAGUGCAGCCCAUUGCCAAUGGGGCUUUUGUUUUGAGUAUUGAUACUGAUUUUGAUGGGUGCAUGCAGUUAAUAAGGGAGGUUACUGCUGAGUUGCCUAUUUAUUUAGCAAAUUCACUUAAUAGUUUGAGGCUGGAGGGUCAGAAAACUGCUGCAAUUGAGAUUUUACAGCAGUUUGAUUGGGAAGUGCCUGAGUGGGUUAUUGUUCCAGGAGGUAAUUUGGGUAAUAUAUAUGCCUUUUAUAAAGGG